This 90-nucleotide transfer RNA is filed under the name Silvibacterium dinghuense. RNAcentral's name for it is "tRNA-Glu". Lineage: Bacteria; Pseudomonadati; Acidobacteriota; Terriglobia; Terriglobales; Acidobacteriaceae. The record is from RNAcentral.
CUUUGCCUGGGGUGUGGUGGCCUAUAACGUCCUCGUCGUCAUCGAUGGCGUGGCCGUGCGCGCUACCGGUUCAGGCGCCGGCUGCGGAGA